This is a non-coding RNA of Camellia sinensis, 3508 nucleotides long. Lineage: Eukaryota; Viridiplantae; Streptophyta; Magnoliopsida; Ericales; Theaceae. The record is from RefSeq and is a predicted model, not a curated record.
GCCUACUACCCAACAACACAAAUAUCAUCGGUGGAUCUCUCUCCAUCAUCAUUUUCAUCUUGUAUCAACCUAGGGUUUCUUUCUCUCUCUACAUACAUAUCGAUAUCUCCUCCUCCUUCGAUCUGAUCAUCUCUCUCUCUCUCUCUCUUAAAUCGAGUUCUUUGAUUCAUCGAGUCAAUGGACGCGAUCGACGAAUUCGCUCAGGUCGCCGAUUCGAUGCGCCAGGCAUUUGCUUUGCUUGCCGACAAAGAUGUUGACGAAAACUCAUCGUCCUCGCGCCGCCCUUCCACUUUCCUCAAUGUCGUUGCUCUCGGCAAUAUUGUGAGUUGAUUGAUUUCAGAAUCAAUGAUAUAUUGUAGCGAUGUUGAAAUUUGAUGCUUUUGUUUAUUGAUUUGAUCUCUGGAUCUAGCUGCAUUUUUUUGGUCUUGAUUUUGAUUUGAAUAGGUGCAUCUGAGUCAAACGUAGAGAGAAUUGUGUAUCGAUUUUUGGUGAACAAGUAUUUAGGAGAGAACCGAGUCAAAUCAGACAUUUUUUUUGUUGUGUUGAUUGUGUAAUUGCUUAUUAGAUAUCGUAUGAUCUUUGGUUAUUAUUGCUCUCUCAACAUUUUGGUAGUAGUGCCUCAAGUAUUGUUGAUUCGAUGAAUUGAGUAGUAUUGUGAUUGUAAUUUGGUAUACUAGCUAAUGUUGCUGUUCACUUCCUCUAAGCCUUCAAACUUCCUUUAAGCCUUCUAUCAGUGGCAUAUCUUAUCUCCUUGCAGCUUAAUGGAUUGUCUAGCUAGGAAUUGUCUGAAUGCAAUCUUGCCCUUAUUCGCGACAAUUGCCUGACUCAAAGCCCAUAUUGCUCGCGUCACGGGGAUGUUGAGGUUUUUUCUAUUUACAGGCACCAAGAUUGAAAAGUUAAACUAAUCUUUCUUCACUCAAAUUCAUUUUUUUUAUUUUAUUAUUUUUAUUUUUUAUAUCUCAUUCCACAUUAACUUCAUUGUAAAUAGAAUUUGCGUGGAUUAGGAUAUGAAGUAUAGCUGAAAUAUUGUCCUUUCUUUUAUAAUCAUUUUUGUGGAAUGGUUGGUUGGCUGCUUGUUAGUUUGUUGAUGUAAAACAUGGGUCAAUCUCAAGAAAACGUUAUACUAUAAUAUUGUAAAUGUAUAUAUCAAAUACUAUUUGGUCAUGAAUUUCUCCAUUAUUCAUUUCUCAAAUUGUUUGUCAUUGUCUUUAAUAUUCAUUUUCUUUGUUUAGGAAGGACUGUGAUGGAUCAAAACAAAUUCAGAUGGGGUUUAAGUAUAGGUCCAAUCUGCUUUUGUUUUCUUUAUUCUCAGUUAUUAUAUAUUCAAAAUUGGAUGAUGCCAUGAAAGAAGUGGGCACACUGGUGGUGAUUUAUCCUGGUUAACAGGACAAUCAAAUUUGGGAAGAGGCCUUUUUCAGAGUUAGGAAAGAGCUAGGAAAGUGUCCCCCAUUUUUAUUUUUAUUUUAAUAUAUAUUAAAGCCCCCUAUUAAAGUUGGACUGCACUCUUCAACCUUUCUUUCAAGUUGGGUAAACCACAUAUAUUCUUCUCAAAACUUGUUUAGAUUUCAUCUUUGUUUUUCUAUUUCACACUUAAAAAAGUGUUUUAUGCAACUUAUUUUUUAGUUUAAUUGUUGAAAUCUGACUUUAGUAUCAUUAUAUUUUCUUAGUUCUUAUUUUUUGAUGGAUCUGGGAUAAAUUUUGUGGAUGUGUGAUAAACUAUUUCAAUCUCACUAUAUAUAUAUAUAUAUGUUUUAAAAAGUAAAUAAAGUAUUGAACAAUUAUUUUUGUAUUUAUCUUAAUUAAUAAUUAUAUUCCAAUGUUAUGCAAAAUUAUUACAAAUCUCCCUUUGAUAAUAGUAUACAAUGAUCUGAAGUACUAAAAAUAUCGAAUAUAUUUUAAAAUUGGUUAAUAAAAGGGCCUCUGAAAAAUGUUAGCCAUUGUACUAGUUUAUAUUUAGAUAUUUUGAACCUGCUACAAAUCAUAAAACACAAAAUGAUUUAUAUAAUUACACUGUUCUGAAAAUUUUGUCAUGUAGGAUUAAAUUUUUUAUCCCUGCACUGGAAACCCAUGUCAAAGUUCAUUUGGCAUGGGUGGUGGGUUUAAAUUAGCCAAGAUUUACGUGUUCAUUCCUAGCUAAAAGACUCCUGUUUGAGCUCUGCACUUUCAUCUAUUUAUUAUUAUUUUUACUAUAGGUUUUGUUUUACCUUUAUUAGCAUGCUUUAUUAGUUCACAAGUAGUAAUGACAUUAACAGGUUGUGGCCCUAUUGAAAAUGACAAUCAGGACUGUGUUAAAUGACUAAUAUUUCAUGUUUUGUUCCUGUUUGUUUUGUUCUUACUUUUGGUUGGUAUAGGCACCGAUCUUGGAGCUGCCUUGGUAAAUCUGGAAACUGGUGUGCAAUCAUGGGUGUUUCAUUGUAAAAGUAAUGUUUUGUCACUACAACUUGAUCAUUUGGUAAUUAUCCACAUUUAAGAUUCCAUACAAAUGUUUCUAAAUUGUCUAUUUUCACGUCUGGUUCCUUAUUUUUUUGGAUUACUACGUGGAUCACCCUUUCUUUUUUUUUGGUUCGGUCUAGUUAAGAAUUCUGUGGUUACACAAACUUCAUAUUAAAGUAUUUGCAACACAUUAACUUAAAGAAAACUUGACAUAAAACAUACUUUAAAAUCUUAAUUCCAUUAGGUUCCAUGUGGCACCAAUAUGUAAUUCAGAAUUUGCACAUCACGGUUAACAGGCUUUGCAUAAUCAAGUCAACAACUUUUUCCUUGGUAGAUGUUGACUUCAUCUCAAGAUUUAUAAAUAGCAUUACUGUACUUUUAUAUAUUAUCAUUACAUUUUUUAUUUGAUAAUUUUUUAUCUAUUAUCAUUACAUGACCUUUGUCUGUGGCUAACUGACUAUCACUAUAUGAUUUCAAUGUAAUAAACUCAUCUCUUGUUGCAGAGACGGAUUGUUUUAUGUGGUUUAAGAAAUGGAGCAAUUUGUUUUCUGCAUGUUCAUGUCUUGGAAUAAUUAUCAAUUUUUAAAUGGAGAUGACAACUCUCUUCUGACUAUUAAUUUGUUUUCUGCAUGUUCAUGUCUGAUGAUGAGUUAACUGUUGAAAUCUUUUAACAUGUAAAUUUUCCUAUAUUCAAGGGCACGGAUAAAAUGUUUGCAUAACCCUGUUCCUUCUCCUCCUGAUCAUUGUUGCCCUGUAGUCAUAGCUCAUAUUCAGCUAUCUUAAGAUAUUUGGUCCAUUUUUUCCAUGAGAAUUGAUUAUUCAAUCAAAGUGGUUAUUCUCCUUCUAUUGAAGCAUGAGAUGAAGAGUCAGCGUGAUGAGAAAAAGUUCGACUGUAUUUUUUGUCAGAAAUUUCUUGAAGAGAUGCAAAGUAUGGUCAAAGAAUUAAAGAAUUUGGUUUUUUAAGUUUUUUCAUUUUUUAAUAUAUGUAAGCAUAGUUAAAUUUUUUUUAUUUAAUUUAUUUGUAUAUACUUUUGAACAUUUAAUUUUUAUUUAUAAAAUAUAUGACGUUAUUCCA